RNAcentral lists this ribosomal RNA (449 nucleotides) under uncultured bacterium. Its description in RNAcentral is "bacterial SSU rRNA". It matches the Rfam family "Bacterial small subunit ribosomal RNA", at positions 329 to 794 of the family's 1533-position model. The record is from RNAcentral.
GGCCAGACUCCUACGGGAGGCAGCAGUGGGGAAUAUUGCACAAUGGGGGAAACCCUGAUGCAGCAACGCCGCGUGGGUGAAGGAGCGUUUCGGCGCGUAAAGCCCUGUCAGCGGGGAAGAAGAAAGACGGUACCCGACCAAGAAGCCCCGGCUAACUACGUGCCAGCAGCCGCGGUAAUACGGAGGGUGCGAGCGUUAAUCGGAAUUACUGGGCGUAAAGCGCUCGUAGGCGGUAUGUCAAGUCAAGGGUGAAAUCCCCGCGCUCAACGUGGGAACUGCCUUUGAAACUGGCAAACUGGAGUGUGUGAGAGGAUAGUGGAAUUCCAGGUGUAGGAGUGAAAUCCGUAGAUAUCUGGAGGAACAUCAGUGGCGAAGGCGACUAUCUGGCACAUAACUGACGCUGAGGAGCGAAAGCGUGGGUAGCAAACAGGAUUAGAUACCCCGGUAGC